This 678-nucleotide long non-coding RNA is filed under the name Capra hircus (goat). RNAcentral describes it as "lncRNA (ENSCHIG00000007420.1)". Lineage: Eukaryota; Metazoa; Chordata; Mammalia; Artiodactyla; Bovidae. The record is from RNAcentral.
CAGCAAAUGAGAACCCCUGAUAACAUGGGUGAGAGGUUCAUUCUUUGACAAUGCCAGUUAUAGAAGAUGCAUUGUUUUGACCACAGGCUCACUUUCAAUACAAUGUGUCAUCAGGCUUAAGUGGCAAGUGAGAUGUUACCUGUGUCAACUUCCCACUUUAUUGAACGCUGGACUUCGUGAAAGUGUUUGGUGGGUGCCGGAGCAUGAGUCUCACUUUCUGUUCCCUCUGGGGUGGAGGUUUGGGGAGAAAUGCCUUUACCACAUUACAACCGUAUAUUUGCAGUUUUUGAUUCUGCAGUUGAUUAAACACUUUCACAUGUACUCAUGUCUCCUCCUAGCUGCACUGCUGUCAUCUCAAUUCUACUGAUGCAGAAAUGGAGACCCUGAGAGGCGGUCACCCUAAAAGUUAGUCACAUGGUAGGAGCCCCCACCAUGAAGUAUAUCCAGGCCUGAGCCCUCCCCAUCAUCCGCUGCUCACUAAUGCUUACUGUCUGAGUCUGCUCAGCUGUUUAACAGUAUUCUGCAGGCUGAGGGGACUUAUAGGCAGUAGAUAUUUAUUUCUUUCAGUUCUGGAAUCCAGAAGUCCAAGAUCAGAGCACCAGCCUGGUUGAGUGAGGGCACUCUUCCAGGUUAAAAACUUUUCAUUGUAUCCUCACAGAGUGGAAGGGGCCAGGGAGC